CCGAGGCCGCCGCUGCUGCCGUCGCCGCGCAGAGCCGAAGCAGGAGCCACGGCCGAGAGGAGGGAGGAGGAGGAGGAGGUGGAGGAGGCGCCGGACCAAGGGGGAUAGAUUCCCAGAAGUGGGAUAACUGGAUCAGAGGGUGAUUACCCUGUGUAUAAGAGUGUGUGUCUCACUGCACCUUCAAUGGCAUUGAGUAGAUUAUCAGUAUUUAAACAGUCCACAUCAUGCGUGAGUACAAGCUAGUGGUCCUUGGUUCAGGAGGCGUUGGGAAGUCUGCUCUG
This is a long non-coding RNA of Propithecus coquereli (Coquerel's sifaka), 281 nucleotides long. RefSeq lists it as uncharacterized. The transcript is spliced from 3 exons. The record is from RefSeq and is a predicted model, not a curated record. NCBI's taxonomy places the organism in Eukaryota, Metazoa, Chordata, Mammalia, Primates, Indriidae.